RNAcentral lists this ribosomal RNA (393 nucleotides) under Acanthamoeba sp. Its description in RNAcentral is "SSU rRNA". It matches the Rfam family "Eukaryotic small subunit ribosomal RNA", at positions 787 to 1084 of the family's 1831-position model. The record is from RNAcentral. Lineage: Eukaryota; Discosea; Longamoebia; Acanthamoebidae.
UUCUGCCACCGAAUACAUUAGCAUGGGAUAAUGGAAUAGGACCCUGUCCUCCUAUUUUCAGUUGGUUUUGGCAGCGCGAGGACUAGGGUAAUGAUUAAUAGGGAUAGUUGGGGGCAUUAAUAUUUAAUUGUCAGAGGUGAAAUUCUUGGAUUUAUGAAAGAUUAACUUCUGCGAAAGCAUCUGCCAAGGAUGUUUUCAUUAAUCAAGAACGAAAGUUAGGGGAUCGAAGACGAUCAGAUACCGUCGUAGUCUUAACCAUAAACGAUGCCGACCAGCGAUUAGGAGACGUUGAAUACAAAACACCACCAUCGGUGCGGUCGUCCUUGGCGUCGGUCUUUCGGGGCCGGCGCGGGGACGGCUUAGCCCGGUGGCACCGGUGAAUGACUCCCUAGC